This 441-nucleotide ribosomal RNA is filed under the name uncultured bacterium. Its description in RNAcentral is "partial 16S ribosomal RNA". It matches the Rfam family "Bacterial small subunit ribosomal RNA", at positions 338 to 795 of the family's 1533-position model. The record is from RNAcentral.
CCUACGUGAGGCAGCAGUGGGGGAUAUUGCACAAUGGGGGGAACCCUGAUGCAGCGACGCCGCGUGGGUGAAGGAGCGUUUCGGCGCGUAAAGCCCUAUCGGCAGGGAAGAAGGAGGACGGUACCUGACUAAGAAGCACCGGCUAACUACGUUCCCACAGCCGCGGUAAUACGUAGGUGGCAAGCGUUAUCCGGAUUUAAUGGGUAUACAGGGGGCGCAGACGGCAGCGCAAGCCAGGAGUGAAAGCCCGGGGCCCAACCCCGGGACUGCUCUUGGAACUGCGCGGCUGGAGUGCAGGAGGGGCAGGCGGAAUUCCUGGUGUAGCGGUGAAAGGCGUAGAUAUAAGGAGGAACACCGGUGGCGAAGGCGGCCUGCUGGACUGCGACUGACGUUGAGGCCCGAAAGCGUGGGGAGCAAACAGGAUUAGAUACCCUGGUAGUC